CAAAAACAUCGCCUCUUGUUGUUUAAAAAUAAGAGGUCCAGCCUGCCCAAGGACCAUGUGUUUAACGGCUGCGGUAUUUUAACCGUGCGAAGGUAGCGUGAUCACUCGUCUUUUAAAUAGAGACCCGUAUGAAUGGUAAAACGAGGGCUUAGCUGUCUCCUUUUUCAUGUCAAUGAAAUUGAUCUACCCGUGCAAAAGCGGGUAUUAUCUUAUAAGACGAGAAGACCCUGUGAAGCUUUAGAYAAUAAGACAGACCCGGCCUAAAACCACUAAUAAAGGACUAAGCUUUAAACCCCUGUCUCAGUGUCUUCGGUUGGGGCGACCACGGGGAGUUGCGUAACCCCCGCGUGGACUGGGAACAAGAGUGUUUUUGUUCCUAAAGAUAAGAGCCUCCGUUCUAAUAAACAGAAUUUCUGACCUUACAAGAUCCGGCAAUGCCGAUCAACGAACCAAGUUACUCCAGGGAUAACAGCGCCAUCCUCUUUCAGAGCCCUUAUCGACAAGGGGGUUUACGACCUCGAUGUUGGAUCAGGACAUCCUAAUGGUGUAGCCGCUAUUAAGGGUUCGUUUGUUCAACGAUUAAUAGUCCUACGUGAUCUGA
RNAcentral lists this ribosomal RNA (601 nucleotides) under Johnius trewavasae. Its description in RNAcentral is "partial 16S ribosomal RNA". It matches the Rfam family "Bacterial large subunit ribosomal RNA", at positions 1808 to 2608 of the family's 2925-position model. Lineage: Eukaryota; Metazoa; Chordata; Actinopteri; Sciaenidae. The record is from RNAcentral.